CAGAGUCAAAUAACAAUAAGUCAUAAAAUGUAGUAAUUGAUUCAAGACGAUGGAACAACAGAAACACUAGCCACUAUUCUUUCCAUUUACAAAAGUGAACAAUUGUGUCUGUCCCUUACAAGAAACUACAAACAAAAUAACAAAAUUCACUCAUUUUAACACCUAGAAAUCUAACAAAAAGUGUAUAUUAGAGACUACAUGCAUGAGAACCCUGCACUUUUUAGCAUCUUGUGUGUGAGUGAAUAACAAACAAAGAUAACUACUUUUUUCUUUCUAAACCAAGACAUCUCCCGC
RNAcentral lists this long non-coding RNA (294 nucleotides) under Medicago truncatula (barrel medic). RNAcentral describes it as "long non-coding RNA (MTRU_LNC006853)". The record is from RNAcentral. Lineage: Eukaryota; Viridiplantae; Streptophyta; Magnoliopsida; Fabales; Fabaceae.